UACGUAGGGUGCAAGCGUUGUCCGGAAUUAUUGGGCGUAAAGAGCUCGUAGGCGGUUUGUCGCGUCUGCUGUGAAAACUCGGGGCUUAACCCCGGGCCUGCAGUGGGUACGGGCAGACUAGAGUGCGGUAGGGGAGACUGGAAUUCCUGGUGUAGCGGUGAAAUGCGCAGAUAUCUGGAGGAAUACCGGUGGCGAAGGCGGCAUCCUGGACCAUUACUGACGCUGAGGCGCGAAAGCUAGGGGAGCAAACGGG
RNAcentral lists this ribosomal RNA (253 nucleotides) under uncultured bacterium. Its description in RNAcentral is "partial 16S ribosomal RNA". It matches the Rfam family "Bacterial small subunit ribosomal RNA", at positions 524 to 776 of the family's 1533-position model. The record is from RNAcentral.